This 301-nucleotide ribosomal RNA is filed under the name uncultured bacterium. Its description in RNAcentral is "partial 16S ribosomal RNA". It matches the Rfam family "Bacterial small subunit ribosomal RNA", at positions 509 to 807 of the family's 1533-position model. The record is from RNAcentral.
CAGCCGCCGCGGGAAUACGAAGGGGGCUAGCGUUGUUCGGAAUUACUGGGCGUAAAGCGCACGUAGGCGGAUAUUUAAGUCAGGGGUGAAAUCCCAGAGCUCAACUCUGGAACUGCCUUUGAUACUGGGUAUCUUGAGUAUGGAAGAGGUGAGUGGAAUUCCGAGUGUAGAGGUGAAAUUCGUAGAUAUUCGGAGGAACACCAGUGGCGAAGGCGGCUCACUGGUCCAUUACUGACGCUGAGGUGCGAAAGCGUGGGGAGCAAACAGGAUUAGAUACCCCCGUAGUCCCUGUCUCUUAUAC